CCCUUAGAUGUUCUGGGCCGCACGCGUGCUACACUGAGUGGAUCAGCGGGUCAGGUUGCGCGAAAGUGUUUCCUAAUCUUGAAAUCCGCUCGUGAUGGGGAUUGACGGUUGCAAUUUUCCGUCAUGAACGAGGAAUACCUUGUAAGCGCGGGUCAUCAUCCCGCGCUGAAUACGUCCCUGCCCUUUGUACACACCGCCCGUCGCUCCUACCGAUUGAGUGGUCCGGUGAGGCUUUGGGAUCUGAGCAAAAAGAGCGUUUCGCUCGUUUGGCUUGGAAAACUCAGUCGAACCUUAUCAUUUAGAGGAAGGAGAAGUCGUAACA
This 322-nucleotide ribosomal RNA is filed under the name uncultured eukaryote. Its description in RNAcentral is "partial 18S ribosomal RNA". It matches the Rfam family "Eukaryotic small subunit ribosomal RNA", at positions 1470 to 1796 of the family's 1831-position model. The record is from RNAcentral.